UUGAUGUCAACGUGAAGAAAUUCAACCAAGCCCGGUUAAACGGCGGAAGCAACUAUGACUCUCUUAAGUUAGCCAAAUGCCUUGCCAUCUAAAUAGUGACACGCAUCAAUGGAUUAACAAGAUUCCCACCGUCUCUAUCGACUAUCUAGCGAAACCUCAGCCAAGGGAACAGGCUUGGAUAGUCAGCAGGGUAAGAAGACCCUGUUGAGCUUGUCUUUCGUUUGACAUUGUGAAAAAACAUAGGGUGUGUGAAAUAAGUGGGAGCUAUGGGGCCGGUGAAAUACCACUGCCCUGAUUGUUUCUUUUUUCCUAUUCAAUGAAGCAGGAUUGGCAUUCACCGGCCACCUUCUGGUAUUACGGCACUCAGGGCGCUAACCUGGGCUGAAGAAAUCGGCAGGUGAGGAGUUUGACUCGUGCCACACAUCUGUUUAAAGAUAACGCAGGUGUCCUAAGGGGAACUCAUCAGGAACAGAAAUCUCGAGUAAAGCAAAACGGUCAAAGUUCCCUUCAUAUUGAUUUUCAGUGUGAACACAAACCAUGAAAGUGCGGCCUAUCCAUCGUUUAGUCGCUGGGUAUUUCAGGCUAGAGAAGUUAGAAAAUUUACCACAGUGGUAACUGGCUUGUGGCAGCCAAGCUUUCCUAGUGGAGUUGCUUUUUAAUCCUUCAAUGUUGGCUCUUCCUAUGAUUAAGAAGCAGACCUCUCAUAGCAUGGGAUUAUUCACCCACCAUUAGGGAACAUGAGCUGGGUUCAGACCGUCGUGAGUUAGGUUAGUUUUACCCUCCUGGUGAAGGAUUAUUGCAAUAGUAAUUCAACCUAAAACGAGAGGAACCGUUGAUUCCCAUAACUGGUUUUUGCGGUGGGCUGAAUAGCUAGUGCCGCAACGCUACCAUACCUUGUAUUACAGAUGAUCGCCUCUAAGUCAGAAUCCAUGCCAGAACGUGAUGAUUUCUCCUGUCUCCAUGUUGG
This 967-nucleotide ribosomal RNA is filed under the name Blyttiomyces helicus. RNAcentral's name for it is "eukaryotic LSU rRNA". It matches the Rfam family "Eukaryotic large subunit ribosomal RNA", at positions 2210 to 3181 of the family's 3401-position model. The record is from RNAcentral. Lineage: Eukaryota; Fungi; Chytridiomycota; Chytridiomycetes.